AUAACAUAGUCUGUCGGGCUGAAUUUCAUAAUUAUGAAAGAAGCUACACCAAAAUCAUUUGAGAAACUCUGAGUGCCACUGACAAGGUAACCAGAUGAGAAGCUUUGUGUAUCUUGUGGAAAUGGUUUAUCAGAGCAGGACUUUUCCUUGAACAUGUCAUGGCUCACAAUGCAUUCAUUGGAAACAGAAUAGAAUCAUAGAAUCAUAGAAUGGCUUGGGUUGGAAGGGACCUCAAGGAUCAUCAAGCUCCAACCCCUUGCCACGUGCAGGGCUGCCAACCUCCAUAUCUAAUACUAGACCAGGCUGCCCAGGGCCUCAUCUACAGCUAUUUUUCAUUGACAAAGCUAAAUAUGAAUGUUUGGCCAUAUCUGGAACAUCAGAAGGGGCACUUCGUCUUGUUUUCAAGGAAGAUUUUGGUGGUGAAGCUACCACACAAAUUAAAAUUGUGCAAGAAGAAUUUUGGUGGCACGCGUAUAAUCUAAACUAUGCCAUACUACUGUGUACCUGAAGGGAUUCAGGUGAAAGAAAGAAAAUGCGACAGAUGCAAGCUUUACAUUUCUGAGCAAUAAAAAAUUUCUGAUCUUGUCUUCCCCUUGGAUGAAAAUAUUGAUGAUCAGUCAAUGUAUGUCACUCUGGAAAAAAUCACAUCCUUUUAUUAAUUUUUUUUUCUUCUGAUGUUUCUGUACUUAAAGCCACAAGCUUGCAUCACAAAAAAAUCUGAAAUGCUUCAUUUGGAAGAUAUCCAGGCAGUACAUUUUUCUUCAUCGCUGCAACUUUUGUCUUCAUUUUUUUGCUGAAACAAAAUUUUGGCAAAACCCCAUGCAAGUUUCCAGAGCUACUUAGUUCGGAUAGUUUUGAGUUUUCCUUGGAACAAUGAUUCUACUAGAAGUAUUUCCAGCCAGUUGUAACAGCAGUAGCCUCCACAUUUUUGACCAUUCAGUCUUCAAGGAAAUCUUCAAGCUCAUCUUCAAGGAAAUGGGCCUUUAUUUAUUUAUUUGUUUGUUAAUUUAUUAGUGUUUGUAAUCGCCAUCUUGAAAAUAAUUGACAAUACAGGAGAUGAAGUACAGAAGUUACAGUUGUAAAAGUGUAAUGGUACAUGUGUAUUUUUUCAGAUGGAAAAAAACACAGAAUGUAAAGUUAAAGCAACUCUCCAGAGAGUGCUUCAACUCACAUCAGGGCAUCACAGCCUUAUUCCAGUUCAUACACAGUUGAGUUGUGUUCUCUUCUGUGUCUGCCUUUGUAUGAUAGAAAACCAUCCUAGUUUUCUUUGACAGCAGCAGCAUGAAGUAUAGGAGAAAACAGAGAAAAAUAAACUUGAACCUGGUGACCUGAGUGGAUGCAAGCAGAAGUGUAUUUCAUUAUGGCAACUCCAUAUGCUAGCUUAAAGAAAAAUCAAAAUAUUUUGGGGAAUGUGUCCUAGACUUAAGCAGGUUUCAGAAACAGAAGGUUAAUUUUUAGAAAACCUAAAUAGAAUUGUGAAAUUAAAAUAGAUUGACAAGUACUUGUAAUCAAAAUAAAAACAUCCAGGCAUUACAUCUAUUUAGAAAAUUGUCUUAGCUUUUUGAAAUAACUGAUUUACAAGCUGUAGCAUGAAAGAAAUAUUCUUAUAAGAUAUAAGUGUAUCUUAUGAAGAUACACUUCAUAAAUAUAUUAUAUAUAUUUCUAUAAUAAAACUUCAGUGUAUUUUCACAUAGAAGAUCCCAAAAUAUGCCUUGUACCUUUUUCAGUAUAGAGCAUAUUAGUUGGCUCUUUCUAUGCUUUUUCUCUAUUAUUUUUUCCUUCUUGACUAUUCUUCACACGGAGGAAGAAAAGGACAAGCUGCAUAUUCAAGCUGACAGUGAUAAAACAUUUAUUUCUUAACUUUCAUGACACCAUAUAAUAGACAGGUAAAAGAUGGAUUUUAUGUUUUAUGAAGUUUAAUUUGUUCUGAAAAAAUGAAACAAUAUAAAAUUAUGUCUGUUCCUUUUUCAUAUGAGGAAGCUUUGAAAUAUCCUUUGUGAUUUCUGGAUAUUUUCUUAAGAAGUAUAUGAAAUUUUCUGUAAGAGUCUUAGUUGACUCUCUAAUACCUUUUUUACAAAUACCUAUACUUGCAUUAAUUGUAUUUAUUAGAGCCUAAAACUGUGAGUAUGUAAAAUUGAAAAGAUAAGGCAUAUUGGCGAUUUUGUUCUUAGGUUAUUUUCAACAUAUAUUGUUAGUUUUGCUGAAGGUGAUUUUCUUCUUUCAAAUUUCUCUAAAUGACAUUUUAAAGAAAUAUGUAUAUAUGCAUUAAAAAGAUCACGGAGUUAU
This is a long non-coding RNA of Gallus gallus (chicken), 2286 nucleotides long. The record is from Ensembl. Lineage: Eukaryota; Metazoa; Chordata; Aves; Galliformes; Phasianidae.